This 1080-nucleotide ribosomal RNA is filed under the name uncultured Chloroflexota bacterium. Its description in RNAcentral is "bacterial SSU rRNA". It matches the Rfam family "Bacterial small subunit ribosomal RNA", at positions 8 to 1103 of the family's 1533-position model. The record is from RNAcentral. Lineage: Bacteria; Bacillati; Chloroflexota.
AGAGUUUGAUCCUGGCUCAGGACAAACGCUGGCGGGGUGCAUGAGACAUGCAAGUCGAACGGGGUUGAGCGGGCUUGCUCGAUCAACCUAGUGGCGGACGGCUGAGUAACGCGUAGGUGACCUGCCCGGAAGUGGGGAAUAACUGCCCGAAAGGGUGGCUAAUACCGCAUGUGGUCGGCGAUUCGGUUCGCCGUGCAAAGCCGUAAGGCGCUUCCGGAGGGGCCUGCGUCCGAUUAGCUAGUUGGUGGGGUAAUGGCUCACCAAGGCGACGAUCGGUAGCUGGUCUGAGAGGAUGAUCAGCCAGACUGGGACUGAGAACGGCCCAGACUCCUACGGGAGGCAGCAGUCGGGAAUUUUGCCCAAUGGACGAAAGUCUGAGGCAGCAACUCCGCGUGAGGGACGAAGGCCUUCGGGUCGUAAACCUCUUUUCUCAGGGAAGAUACAAGACGGUACCUGAGGAAUAAGCCACGGCUAACUACGUGCCAGCAGCCGCGGUAAUACGUAGGUGGCGAGCGUUGUCCGGAUUUACUGGGCGUAAAGAGCGCGCAGGCGGCUGGUCAAGUCCGAUGUGAAAGCUCCCGGCUUAACUGGGAAAUUGCAUCGGAAACUGAUCGGCUGGAAGGUGGGAGAGGGUAGCGGAAUUCCCGGUGUAGUGGUGAAAUGCGUAGAUAUCGGGAGGAACACCAGUGGCGAAGGCGACUUCCUGGCCUGUUCUUGACGCUGAGGCGCGAAAGCUAGGGGAGCAAACGGGAUUAGAUACCCCGGUAGUCCUAGCCGUAAACGGUGGAUACUAGGUGUUGGUGGUAUCAACCCCGCCAGUGCCGUAGCUAACGCAUUAAGUAUCCCGCCUAGGGAGUACGGCCGCAAGGCUAAAACUCAAAGGAAUUGACGGGGGCCCGCACAAGCAGCGGAGCGUGGGGUUUAAUUCGACGCAACGCGAAGAACCUUACCAGGACUUGACAUGACCAGGACCACGGCGGAAACGUCGUCUCCCCGCAAGGGGCCUGGCCACAGGUGUUGCAUGGCUGUCGUCAGCUCGUGUCGUGAGAUGUUGGGUUAAGUCCCGCAACGAGCGCAACC